RNAcentral lists this ribosomal RNA (239 nucleotides) under uncultured bacterium. RNAcentral describes it as "partial 16S ribosomal RNA". It matches the Rfam family "Bacterial small subunit ribosomal RNA", at positions 791 to 1035 of the family's 1533-position model. The record is from RNAcentral.
UAGUCCGCACAGUAAACGAUGAAUACUCGCGGUUGGCGAUACAAUGUCAGCCGCCAAGCGAAAGCGUUAAGUAUUCCACCUGGGGAGUACGCCGGCAACGGUGAAACUCAAAGGAAUUGACGGGGGCCCGCACAAGCGGAGGAACAUGUGGUUUAAUUCGAUGAUACGCGAGGAACCUUACCCGGGCUUGAACUGAGGGGGAAUGAGCCAGAGAUGGUUCAGUCUUCGGACUCCCUUGG